Molecule: long non-coding RNA, 436 nt
Organism: Pezoporus flaviventris
Lineage: Eukaryota; Metazoa; Chordata; Aves; Psittaciformes; Psittacidae
Exons: 3
Source: RefSeq, a predicted model, not a curated record
AGUAAGCAUGAUCUGCUUCACUAGCUGGUGUAAAGGCCUUCCACGAGAAAAGUGGAUAAAGAACAUAUUGAUAAGCAUUGUAUUCAGUUAUUCACCAAAGUUAAUAAAAGGUGCUGGUAGCAGGCUUCAAGACUCAAUUCCUGUAUUCACAGAAGAUAUUCAGCAGAGGUGUUUUUAUUAGGAAUAGCUCCUGAGUGGGCCAUGAGACUGUCUUCCUGGCACAGAGACAAGAAAUGCUUACUUCCAACCUUGCACCCAGCAUCCUCAAUCACAUAAUGAUGGAGAGUAGAGCUCCAUCCCUCCAACACGCUGACUCAUGUACCUCUGCUCAGCACAUAAGUCAGGGGCAUUUACGUCCUCCGUGAAGCAUAAAAAUACCUUUUUUUUUUAAUAGCUCACAGGCAACAAUAUUUCUCCUCCUGCAACUGGUCAUGCA